AACGAACGCUGGCGGCAUGCCUAACACAUGCAAGUCGAACGAGACCUUCGGGUCUAGUGGCGCACGGGUGCGUAACGCGUGGGAACCUGCCCUUAGGUUCGGAAUAACUCCCCGAAAGGGGUGCUAAUACCGGAUAAUGUCUUCGGACCAAAGAUUUAUCGCCUUUGGAUGGGCCCGCGUUGGAUUAGCUAGUUGGUAGGGUAAAAGCCUACCAAGGCGACGAUCCAUAGCUGGUCUGAGAGGAUGAUCAGCCACACGGGGACUGAGACACGGCCCAGACUCCUACGGGAGGCAGCAGUGGGGAAUAUUGGACAAUGGGCGAAAGCCUGAUCCAGCAAUGCCGCGUGAGUGAUGAAGGCCUUAGGGUUGUAAAGCUCUUUUACCCGGGAUGAUAAUGACAGUACCGGGAGAAUAAGCUCCGGCUAACUCCGUGC
Molecule: ribosomal RNA, 434 nt
Filed under: uncultured bacterium
Lineage: Bacteria
Description: partial 16S ribosomal RNA
Rfam family: Bacterial small subunit ribosomal RNA
Source: RNAcentral